Molecule: ribosomal RNA, 253 nt
Filed under: uncultured bacterium
Lineage: Bacteria
Description: partial 16S ribosomal RNA
Rfam family: Bacterial small subunit ribosomal RNA
Source: RNAcentral
UACGGAGGGUGCGAGCGUUAAUCGGAAUUACUGGGCGUAAAGCGCACGUAGUCGGCUUUGCAAGUCGGUUGUGAAAUCCCCGGGCUCAACCUGGGAACUGCAUCCGAGACUGCAUUGCUAGAGUAUGGGAGAGGAAAGCGGAAUUUCUGGUGUAGCAGUGAAAUGCGUAGAUAUCAGAAGGAACAUCAGUGGCGAAGGCGGCUUUCUGGACCAAUACUGACGAUCAGGUGCGAAAGCGUGGGGAGCAAACAGG